GACGAACGCUGGCGGCGUGCUUAACACAUGCAAGUCGAACGGAAAGGCCCUGCUUUUGUGGGGUGCUCGAGUGGCGAACGGGUGAGUAACACGUGAGUAACCUGCCCUUGACUUUGGGAUAACUUCAGGAAACUGGGGCUAAUACCGGAUAGGAGCUCCUGCUGCAUGGUGGGGGUUGGAAAGUUUCGGCGGUUGGGGAUGGACUCGCGGCUUAUCAGCUUGUUGGUGGGGUAGUGGCUUACCAAGGCUUUGACGGGUAGCCGGCCUGGGAGGGUGGCCGGCCACAUUGGGACUGAGGUACGGCCCAGACUCCUACGGGGGGCAGCAGUGGGGAAUAUUGCACAAUGGGCGGAAGCCUGUUGCAGCAGCGCCGCGUGCGGGAUGACGGCCUUCGGGUUGUAAACCGCUUUCGCCUGUGACGAAGCGUGAGUGACGGUAAUGGGUAAAGAAGCACCGGCUAACUACGUG
Molecule: ribosomal RNA, 468 nt
Filed under: uncultured bacterium
Lineage: Bacteria
Description: partial 16S ribosomal RNA
Rfam family: Bacterial small subunit ribosomal RNA
Source: RNAcentral